Molecule: unclassified non-coding RNA, 336 nt
Filed under: soil metagenome
Description: partial contains 5.8S ribosomal RNA, internal transcribed spacer 2, and large subunit ribosomal RNA
Rfam family: 5.8S ribosomal RNA (bases 1-120)
Source: RNAcentral
GAUGAAGAACGUAGUGAAAUGCAAUAAGUAAUGUGAAUUGCAGAAUUCAGUGAAUCAUCGAAUCUUUGAACGCACAUUGCGCCCGCCAGUAUUCUGGCGGGCAUGCCUGUUCGAGCGUCAUUUCAACCAUCAAGCCCCCGGCUUGUGUUGGGGACCUGCGGCUGCCGCAGGCCCUGAAAACCAGUGGCGGGCUCGCUGUCACACCGAGCGUAGUAGAUUUUCAUCUCGCUCAGGGCGUGCUGCGGGUUCCGGCCGUAAAAAGCCUUAUUUACCCAAGGUUGACCUCGGAUCAGGUAGGAAGACCCGCUGAACUUAAGCAUAUCAAUAAGCGGAGGA